RNAcentral lists this long non-coding RNA (505 nucleotides) under Pan troglodytes (chimpanzee). RNAcentral's name for it is "long non-coding RNA NONPTRT001564". Lineage: Eukaryota; Metazoa; Chordata; Mammalia; Primates; Hominidae. The record is from RNAcentral.
GGAGAGGGCUCAGAGGAUGUGACAAUGGGCUCAGGGGAGAGGGCUCAGGGGAUAGGGCUCAGGGGAUGUGACAAUGGACUCAGGGGAGAGGACUCAUGGGAGAGGAGUCAGGGGAUGCGACAAUGGGCUCAGGGGAGAGGACUCAGGGGAGAGGGCUCAGGGGAGAGGGCUCAGGGGAUGUGACGAUGGACUCAGGGGAGAGGGUUCAGGGGAUGUGACAGUGGGCGAAGGAGAGAUGUCAGGCCUCUGAGCCCAAGCUAAGCCAUCAUAUCCCCUGUGACCUGCAGGUACACAUCCAGAUGGCCAGUUCCUGCCUUAACUGAUGACAUUCCACCACAAAAGAAGUGAAAAUGGCCUGUUCCUGCCUUAACUGAUGAUGACAUUACCUUAUGAACUUCCUUCUCCUGGCUCAUCCUGGCUCAAAAGCUCCCCUGCUGAGCACCUUGUGACCCCCACCCCUGCCUGCCAGAGAACAACUCCCCUUCUUCCUUUACCUACCCAAAUC